Rhipicephalus sanguineus (brown dog tick) is the source of this 900-nucleotide long non-coding RNA. RefSeq lists it as uncharacterized. The transcript is spliced from 3 exons. Lineage: Eukaryota; Metazoa; Arthropoda; Arachnida; Ixodida; Ixodidae. The record is from RefSeq and is a predicted model, not a curated record.
UAGACUAGCCGCGCCCCGCUGUAGUACGGUCCCUAGAAUAUAGCUGUAGAGAUGACGCCGAUAUGUUUGGGCUUUUGGGACGGCGGCGUUUGUGUCCGCUGGCGGCGGGAGUGGAAGACGCGGCACUUGUACGCCUUCGGAUGUUAGCUGUUUUAAGGUUGCAUGAGAUGGCGGCAAGCACUGUGUUCAUGUCUUUGCUGCUCAAGGUCGUCACAAUGGGCAAAGUUGUAGCACAAAUGACGGGUAGGUAUGAACAUUAUUGCUGCAAUUUACUUGCUCAUCACCAUUGCCUCAAUUUAAUACAUAUGCAGACCCUCGUUGGUGUUCGCCCAGCCGUACGUACUUUGCUAACAGCCGCCCUACUGCUCGUUCACCGUCACCCCAACCACGCCGCUAUUCCAUGCUGACCAACUAAGUAUCAUCUCGGACGGAAAACAAGAUCAUGCAGCUCCUAGAGCAGAGAGCCAGAAGACUGCACUGGAAACUCCAUUCAACACCAUAUUGCAGAACAUACAGUGAUGUGACCCCAAGGCCCCCGAGUAUUUUCUGACAUUGUUCCCACUAUUGCAAUAAAUGAUGAGAUCACACACACUCUACUAGAAUAAAUGCAGUUGUCGUGCGCUUACAGCAAAUAAACUUCUUCAAAGUCUAAUUUGUUUUGUGACUCAUUUAUGUUGCUUCCCCAACACCCACCAUUAUUCACAGCCAGGAUACUAACUACCAGAUGGACCGGUCCCACCCAUGAAAAUGUCAUAGCUAUUUAGCAACCACAGGAGAUAUACUUUUGUAAUUAGAGCACAGGGUUUACGAAAGGACACAGUACAUGGGUCUGCAAUUGAAAAUACACUAUCUGACCUUGGAGUCACUGAAAAGUAAGUAGUGUCUGUGGCCCAAUCUAAA